Non-coding RNA from Oryctolagus cuniculus (rabbit), 10214 nucleotides. Lineage: Eukaryota; Metazoa; Chordata; Mammalia; Lagomorpha; Leporidae. The record is from RefSeq and is a predicted model, not a curated record.
GCGCGCCCUUCUCGUCGCGCAGGGACGCGCGCAGCGUGACCGGCUGCUCGGGGGCCAGGCCGCGCACGGCGAUGCGCACCGGCUCGUCCCAGCAGCAGGGGCCCGCGGGCUCCACGCUCACCGACGCCGCCAUUCUAAUUUGGAGAAAAGCUCAACACGGUUUCGGGAAGAAUUUUGUGCCUGAAGGCUCAAGGGAAGAGGGCUGUCUGGAGGAGCCGUGGCUUUUCUAGGGGACAUGGGCAAGCCAUGGUGAUGCAGCAGCAGGAGGAGAAAACACAUCUGGAGCUCACUCUCUUCUUCCAUUCAGUAUCUUGCAGUCGAUUUGGCUGAACCCAACAAUACGAUUCAGCCUCCCGGGCCCCCAGCAGGGUGAAGAGAGAAGUGUGUGUAUGAUGUUUGGCAAAUAGAAACUAAGUAAAUAUUUAGAACCUGAGAAAACGAUGAUCAGAUUAAGCCCCAAAUCUGAUUCAUUGAGCUCGCCAUUCCACCUAAGGAAGUAACUGCCCUCUGUAUUUUCAUCAGCUGCCCUUUAAAUUGUCCCAGGAUAAUCCCCCAACUAGGGCACUGUUACACAGGAUCUACCUGGGCUGCUGUCUCCUUCCUUCCCCUACCCUGAUGCCCACCUCACUGUGAAAAGAAGUAGAAAUGACUGUUAGGCACAUGAGGGGAAAGCAGCCGAGCAGCUGGCCAUUCCAAAGCACCUUCUCUGUGGAGUUCUGAGCCUAGGAACUUCAAAGAAGAGGUAGGCAGUGAGCAGGCCAGCUGUCAGGGGAUGCCCAGGGUCUGCAAAGGAGCUGCUGUAAGGAGUACUUUGCAGGGCAGGUGUUUGGGGCUCUGUCCGGUAUCAGAUUACCUGGGUGCAAGUCCUUGCUGCACUCCAGCUUCCAGCUUCGUGUGAAAGCUGACCCUGGGAGGCAGCAGGCACUGGCUGAAGUUGUUGGGUCCCUGUGCCCAUGUGGGAGAGCUGGUUUGAGCCCUCUCCCCCUUGCUACCAUUUUGGGAGUGAACCAGCAGAUCUCUGUAUCUCUCUCUCUCUCUCCCCUUGCCUCUGGAACUAAAAAAAAAAAGAAAAGAAAAAGCAACAAAUAAUGUUCAUGAGAAGAUUGGCCCCACACAGAAAUUCCAGUGCUUGUGUAGCAACUAGAUGAAGUGGCUGAGUUCAGUAUCCACAUAUAUGUCAUGCUGUUUCCAGAAUGAAACAAAAAAAUGAAUUUCUGUGCCAUAUAUUAGGGGGGAAGACUUCAUGGAUGGACGUGAUUCUUUGCUUGAUCUAGAGCAGAAUUUCUCUUACGAGUCCUUGAACUUUUCCACUAAUUGUUCAUUGCCUUUCAGUUACAAACCCCACAUGGAAAAGCUGGGCUUUAGAAAAAAUUACUGAGUCACCCGUAAUCAGUACACCCCAAGAUAAUGAGUAAUUUCACUGUCUGAACUGAGUUUAGAUCACUCACUUAAGGUGCCCACUUUAACAGAUGUGACGAAUCGCAGAUAAUUUAGCAUCUGAGGCAAGACCAUGGGUGCAUCACUGGCUAUUUUCUGUGGUCCCGUCCUGUCCCCUUGCCUCACAAGGAAAGUAACCUUGAAAUGACCAAGUGCCUUUUUCUUUGUUUCUGGUUUUUUUUUUUGUUUUCUUUGGGUUUUGGUUUUUGCUUACGAACUUUGUAAAAAACACAGACUCUGUGCAGCCAUCUCAUUAACCCUCCAGAGCAGAACCAGAACCAUCAUUUGUAUUUCCAUGAUGCUCCACAACACCUCAUCUCUACAAAGCGUUCUGUCUCUACAAGUUAUUUGACUGCCUGUGUUUGGGUCAGGUGGUGAGGGACAGCGAAUCCCAACUGAGCAAUGUGGUGUCCUUUCAUGUGCUGCUGUGGUACAGAAGCAGGAAAUGCUAAGGCAAUGGGACCUGGUUUAAGGCAAUAACUGUAGAUACAGACAGAGUAUGUGUGUAUGGUCUGCUCCACUGGUUUCUGGUUUGUUUUUCAGACCUUCUCUGUCUGUAAAACUCAACUUACUCUGCUCAGCCAGUCAGAACAUGUGUGCUAUUUUAUGGAAUGACAUGUUGCCUGACUCUAGGAAAUAAAAAAUAAAGCAAAGGUGGGAGUGGCCAACGGAUAAUACAGCCACUGGGAUACCUGCAUCCCAAAUCCGAGUGCCUGAGAUGGAGUCCCAACUCCUGCCUCCAGCUUCCUGCCUAUGUGCUCUUUAGAGGCAGUAGGCGACGGCUCCAGUAGUUGGGUUCCUGCUAUGGAUGUGGGAGACCCAGACUACUUCUGCCCUGGCCUGAGACUACUGCAGGGAUUCGGGGAACGAACCACCAGAUAGGAGAUGUGUGUGUGUGUGUAAAAUAAAAAAUGUAUUUACAAAUUUAAGUCAGUUAAGAUCUUGAAACUAAAUUGUUGUAAUUUUUGUCCUUCAGCAAAGAAUACCCAUCAGGGAUGACUGAGAAGUCUUCCUCUAGACAGUGUCAGUUAUCACAAGUUCAUUUUAUUUUCAUUAAUUCUCAGUUAACAUCGGAGAUUCUUUUGCUUUUCUGAGAAAGCAGCUGAGAAUGAAAGGGAGCAGUGGUGUGGAGGGACAGACUCCCAGGUGUUCCGGGAUAGCUGUGAUGGGUUCAAGCCUGUGGCUCUGCUUCUAGUUUCUGUUUACUGUUCAGGUGGGACAAGAGUGUUCCAAUGUUUUCACUCUCAGUAGCCAUUUAAGUAAGUACUUUCCUCAAGAGAGCAGUAUCUUAAUAGUGCCCUCAUGGUUAACAGUACUGAGUCAGUAUCAACUUCCUGACUUUAAUAUGUGUACUGUGGUAUGUAAGAUGUUAACUGUCGCUCCCCCUCUUCGUGGAGGAACGACACAGGACCCUGCGCUGUUCUUUCGUCUGCUCGGCCCUCCCCGGGUUUGCUGCUGGUUCUUCCCGGGUUGGCUACUAUCCCUUCCACCUCCGUGGAAGGGCAGUUCCCCCUGGCCGCAUUCCCCACUUCCGCAGGGGAGCGGCACACCGCCGGCCGGCUUUCUCGGGGGCUGCACGGGUUCCCUUAGAUGUUCCCCAUAGAUGUUCCUGGUGCAUGCCGUCUCUCUCCUCCUUUAUAGUCCUCCUCCGCCAAUCCUAACUCGGCUGCCCACACGCCGAGUACGCUGCUCUCCUCCAAUCAGGAGCAAGUCCUACAGUUUAUUAGUUGAACUGGAGGCAGCUGUGCGGAAGCUGUUUACUUCUCUCCCAGCGCCAUAUUGUGGGAGAGCAGAUACAUAGAAUAAGUCUUAAUUCCAGUAACUUAGUCCAGUCCGGAUGCUCCCCACAGAUCCCCCUUUCUUUUUAUUUUUGGCGUUGAUACGCGCCUGUCUUCGGUGUCCCGCGGCACACACUCUGCUCUACUUGCUAGAGUUGCCACAGGCUCUUACAAGUCCUAUCAAUCAGGAAAACCGAAUCCGGGUCCUCUCUUCGCCAUUGUGAGGAGGUUUUUAGGCGCUGAUGCGUGCCUGUGUUCGGUGCCCUGCAGCGCAUGCUCUGCUCUGCCCGCAGGGGCUUACAAAACCUAUCAGGCAAACCGAAUCCAAGCCUUCUCAUUGCCGUAUUGUGGGGGAGACUUAUUAGUGUUGGUUUGUGCCUAUCUUCGGUGACCUGCAGCUCAUGCUUUGGUCGAGCUGCUUGCUGGCGCUUACCGCCUUAAAUCAGGCAGACCGAAUCCAAGCCUCCUAAUUGUUAUAUCGUGGGGAAGCCUUACUGAUGUUAAUUCGUGCCUGUCUUUGGUGACCUGCGGCGCAUAAGCUGCUAGCCGCCCAGGUGCUCAUCGCCUCACUUAAUCAGGCAGACCGAAUCCAAGCUUUCUCAUUGGCAUGUUGAGGGGAGGCCUUUCUAUUUCUCUAUUUCUCUAUCUCCGGGCAUUCCUAUUUCUCCCAUUUUACUUCUAUCUUCCAACAUUCCUAUUUCUCUCAUCUUACUUCUAAACUUCUGUUUCUCUUAUCCCUGCGGCUUCCCGGCUGCGCUCGCCCCGAGGCUGCUUCUCGGCACCUCGCCCCGCGGCAGCUUCACGGCUCUGCGCGGCUUCCCGGCGCCUCGCCCCGCCGGCGGGUUCCCGGCUCUGCGCGCACGCUCCGUGGUCUCCACGCACUUCGCGCCCGCACCACGGCCUCGCGCCAGCCCCGCGUUCUCUCUGCACGCGGCGGCUUCCGCGAAUGUUUCCGCCACCACCGGCAUUCAGUCCAAGUUCCCCGGACUAACCUGGCGAAUCCUGGCGGCCCACGUCUCUGCCUCUGGUUCCAGAUCUUCGCCUCUUGCUCCCCGGGGUGACUUGAAGAAUUCCAAGAUGGCUUGGCCUGCACUCGCGGCUUCAUCCUCCCUAACAUUUCUCUCUACCCGGUAUGUUUCCUUAAGUUUUCUUCCAACAAUAUUCCUCUCAUUUCUCCUGGCUACUCCCCACAGUCCAUAUCUGAGUCCAAGCCUCCUCCAGGUUUCACUUUCGCUUUCAAUCUCCUAGCUUCCCCGCCAUAGUCCGCAUCCGAGUCUAUGAAAGCUUUCACUUUCGCUUUCAAUCCUAACUUUUUUCCCACAGUCCAUAUCCGAGUUUAUGCCUAGGCUUUCAAUAGCUUCUUCCGGCACCUAGGCUCUUUGCUAGUCUCUUUCUCCGGUAUUUUCCUACUUCUUCCCGUUUCUUCCCUCCUAAGUUUGCUAUCCGUCCUAGGUUUCCUAUCCGAGUCAUUUCUUCCAAGUUUCAUAUCCGUCCUAGGUUUCCUAUCCGAGUCAGGUUUCCUAUCCGAGCUAGGUUUCCUAUCCGAGUCACGGCACCAUUAUGUCGCUCCCCCUCUUCGUGGAGGAGCAACACUAAGCCCUGCCUAGGCUUCAUAUCCGAGUCACGGCACCAUUAUGUCGCUCCCCCUCUUCGUGGAGGAACGACACAGGACCCUGCGCUGUUCUUUCGUCUGCUCGGCCCUCCCCGGGUUUGCUGCUGGUUCUUCCCGGGUUGGCUACUAUCCCUUCCACCUCCGUGGAAGGGCAGUUCCCCCUGGCCGCAUUCCCCACUUCCGCAGGGGAGCGGCACACCGCCGGCCGGCUUUCUCGGGGGCUGCACGGGUUCCCUUAGAUGUUCCCCAUAGAUGUUCCUGGUGCAUGCCGUCUCUCUCCUCCUUUAUAGUCCUCCUCUGCCAAUCCUAACUCGGCUGCCCACACGCCGAGUACGCUGCUCUCCUCCAAUCAGGAGCAAGUCCUACAGUUUAUUAGUUGAACUGGAGGCAGCUGUGCGGAAGCUGUUUACUUCUCUCCCAGCGCCAUAUUGUGGGAGAGCAGAUACAUAGAAUAAGUCUUAAUUCCAGUAACUUAGUCCAGUCCGGAUGCUCCCCACAGUUAACGUAAUGGGAAACAGAGUGAAAGUAGAGGGAACUCUACAAUUUUUGUAAUAUUUGUGUAAAUGUAAAAUUAUUUUAAUAUUUAAACGUUUUUACAAACCACAACAAUCUCUUAGAAUGAUGAAAUCACCAUAGAGGAUCUUUGGUCCUCUCUGUCCAACUUGUAGGUUUACUAAAACCUAUUCCUCUCAAUCCUUUCUCCUCUGUUGCCUCAAAUAUUCAGUCUUUACCGGGUGACUGAAAGCAGCAUUAUCUAUGCCCGUGUGUCUGAAAUUCCUUUAAAUUCUUAAUUAUUUUUCUUGUCCCAGGUAUCUGGACGCAGGCAUGAGGUUUCUCCAGAAGAAUCUGAUAUUAUAUCUGGUCUCAAGAGAAAGGACACUGGGGUCAUGUCUCUGGAGGGGCCUCAUCCUGUCUUUAAGGGAAGAUUCCCCACAUUCAGGGAGAUUAAAGAGAAGGCAUGGUGGGGCCGGCGCCCUGGCUCACUUGGUUAAUCUUCUGCCUGUGGCGCCAGCAUCCCAUAUGGGCACUGGGUUCUAGUCCCGGUUGCUCCUCUUCCAGUCCAGCUCUCUGCUGUGGCCCGGGAAGGCAGUGGAGGAUGGCUCAGGUGCUUGGGCCCCUGCACCCACAUGGGAGACCAGGAGGAAGCACCUGGCUCCUGGCUUUGGAUCGGCGUAGCUCUGGCCGUGGCAGCCAUUUGGGGGGUGAAUCAAUGGAAGAAAGACCUUUCUGUCUCUGUCUCUCACUGUCUAACUCUGUCAAAUAAAAAAAAAGGGGGGGGGGAGGCAUGCUUUUGAAAACAGCUUUGUCAGUAUGCUGGUGUGCCUUCUCUUGGUUCAGUUCCCAGAACUUUGAACUGUGUAACUUACCCAGUUGUGUGGUUGCCAAGACUUUUUCCCUAGUUCCAGGUGAUACUGGGAAGUUUGAGAGAUUAAAUCAGGUGCUGCCUCAGUUACUUUUGUAAAUUUAUUAGGUCAACAAUAAGCAUGGCCAGAUGGCUGGGCCAAGUAACUCUUGCAUCCAAAACAGGUUAAGGCACUGGGGUUCACAGGUAUGUUAUUUUCCAACUCUCUGACUAGUCACUGCUAGCUUCAUCCAUUCCUGGCAACAGUUCUGCCUCUACUUUGGAAAAGUAGGAUGUCAGUCUUUGGGAAAAUAGGCAUGCCAGUUUCUUUGUAUUUUGAAAAAUAGAUCAUUUGCUGAAUUGUUAUCCAGAGUCCUAUAAUUGGGGUCCUGGAAAUCUGCAUAAGUUCAUCAGACACAGACACAGGUCUUCUAACUCUUGUAAUGUCGUAUUCAAGGACAGCCCUCACUGCUAGUCCCUCUCUUUGCUAUUUCGACCUGGUCAGUCAUUAUCCUAUAAUCUUGAGUCUAUUGUUUACCUCAAGUGUAUUGUUAAGCUCAGUUUUAUCAUUUGUAGGCAAUAGCUAUCAUUGCAAAGUGCUGGGCCUGCAUUAUUUGCUUAGGAGUUGACUUUUGACAGGCAACUGGUAUAACGUUUAAAAAGGACAAUAAAGGGGCCAGCGUUGUGGCAUAGUAGGCUAAGUCUCCACCUGUGGCGCCAGCAUCCCAUAUGGGUGCUGGUUCGAGUCCUGCCUAUUCCUCUUCUGACCUAGCUCUCUGCUGUGGCCUGGGAAAGCAGUAGAAGGUGGCCCAAGUGCUUGGGCCCCUGCAUCUGGAGACCCAGAAGAAGCUCCUGGCUCCUGGCUUUGGAUUGGCCCAGCUCCAGCCAUUUUGGUCAUUUGGGGAGUGAACCAGUAGAUGGGAGACCUUUCUCUCUAUCUCUCCUUCUCUCUCUGUAACUCUACCUCAAAUAAUAAAUAAAUGAUUUCCUUUUGAAAAAGGAAAAUACAGAACAAAAUCAGUAGGAGCAUAACAAGUCUAGUUUAUUUAACAGUUUUUAACAAAGAACCUAAAGGUGACCCAUUGAUUGAAUCAAAUGACUGAGGCGAUCUAGGUGAACUCUAUCGUAACCACUAAUGCUAUUCCCUUAUGUUGUGCAGUUGGGUAUCAAUUUCUCAUAUACAACACAUAGAAUUAACAGUAGCACAUUUUCUUAUUUAUUUGUUUAUUUUUCUAUCCCAAAGAAACCUUUUAUUUAAGGAAUACAAAUUUCAUAAGUACAACUUUAGGAAUAUAGUUAUUCUUCACACCAUACCCGCCCUCCCAUACCUCCUCCUCCUCCCUCUCCCAUUCCCAGUCCCAUUCUCCAUUAAGAUUCAUUUUUAGUUAACUUUAUACACAGAAAACCAACUCUAUACUAAGUAAAUAUUUCAACAGUUUGCACACAAACACACACACACACACACACACAGAACAAGUUUUGCAGUUAAGUCUCAUAAACCGACUCAUUGAGGACAGAGGUCCUGCAUGGGAAGUUAGUGCACAGUGACUCCUGUUGUUAAUUUAAGAAUUAACACUCUGAUGUAUGAUGUCAGUGACCACCCAAGGCCCUAUGGAAGCCUUUUAAGUCUACAAACUGUCAUUAUUUAGGCAGGGCCAUAUAGAAAGUGAAAGUUCUCUUCUCCUUUCAGAGAAAAGUACAUCCUUCUUGAUGGCCCCUUCUUUCCACUGGGGUCUCAUUCACAGAGAGCCUUCAUGUAGAUCAUUUUUUGCCACAGUGUCUUGGCUUUCCAUGCCUGAAAUGCUCUCAUGAACCUUUCAGCCAUAUCUGAAUGCGUUAAGGACUGAUUCUGAGAUCAGAGUGCUGUUUAGGGCAUUUGUCAUUCUAUGAGUCUACUGUGUGGCCUGCUUCCCAUGUUGGAUCAUCCUCUCCUUUUUAUUCUAUCUAUUGUUAUUACCAAAUACUUGGUCUUAUUUAUCUGAUCUCUUUGACACGUAAUCCUAUCUAUAUGAUCAGUUACACAUUUAAUAUGAUCAAUUUACCAUGUAAGAUGGCAUUAGUACUGCCAAUUCAAUGGGAUUUGGAGUCCCAUGGCAAAUUUUUAGCUUUACCCUUAGGGUUAAUGUCGCUCCCCCUCUUUGCGGAGGAACGACACAGGACCCUGCGCUGUUCUUUUGUCUGCUCGGCCCUCCCCGGGUUUGCUGCUGGUUCUUCCCGGGUUGGCUACCGACCCUUCCACCUCCGUGGAAGGGCGGUUCCCCCUAGCCACUUUCCCCACUUCCGCGGGGGAGCGGCACACCGCCGGCCGGCUCUCUCAGGGGCUGCACAGGUGUUCCUUCAGAUAGAUGUUCCCCUUAGAUGUUCCUGGUGCAUGUUGUCUCUCUUCUCCUUUAUAGUCCUCUUCCACCAAUCCCAACUCUGCUACCCACAUGCCGAGUACGCUGCUCUCCUCCGAUCAGGAGCAGCUCCUACUGUUUAUUGGUUGAACUGGAGGCAGCUGUGUAGAAGCUGUUUCCUCCUCUCCCAGCGCCAUAUUGUGGGAGAGCAGAUGCAUAGAAUAAGUCUUAAUUCCAGUAACUUAGUCUAGUCUGAGUUGCUCCCAGUUGCUCCCCACAGGUUAAGUCCAUGGGAGUAUGUGCUGAACUGUACAUCUCCUCCCUCUCUUAUUCCCACUCUUACCAUUUACUUGGAUCUAUUUUCUUUUUUUUUAAGAUUUAUUUAUUUACUUGAAAAUCAGAGUUGCACACAGAGAGAAGGAGAGGCAGAGAGAGAGUAUUCCAUCUGAUGAUUCACUCCCCAGUUGGCUGCAAUGGCUGGAGCUGUGCCGAUCUGAACCCAGGAGCCAGGAGCUUCCUCUGGGUCUCCCACAUGGGUGUAGGGGCCCAAGCACUUGGGCCAUUUCUACUGCUUUCUCAGGCCAUAGCAGAGAGCUGGAUAGGAAGUGGAGCAGCUGCCAGCGCCGCGGCUCACUAGGCUAAUCCUCCGCCUUGUGGCACCGGCGCACCGGGUUCUAGUCCUGGUCGGGGUGCUGGAUUCUGUCCCGGUUGCCCCUCUUCCAGGCCAGCUCUCUGCUGUGGCCAGGGAGUGCAGUGGAGGAUGGCCCAAGUGCUUGGGCCCUGCACCCCAUGGGAGACCAGGAGAAGCACCUGGCUCCUGCCUUCGGAUCAGCACGGUGCGCCGGCCACAGCGCACUGGCCGUGGUGGCCAUUGGAGGGUGAACCAAUGGCAAAAGGAAGACCUUUCUCUCUGUCUCUCUCUCUCUCACUGUCCACUCUGCCUUUAGAAAAAAAAAAAAAAGGAAGUGGAGAAGCUUGGACUCGAAUUGGUACCCAUAUGCGAUGCCUGCACUACGGGCGAUAGCUUUACCCACUACACCACAGCACCAGCCCCUGGAAUCUAUUUUCAAUUGAAUUUAAACACCUAUGAAUAAUUCUGUGUUUAGUAAGGAGUUCAACCAAUCAUAUUACGUAGAAAAAGAAAAUAGUAAAGAAAAAAAAAGAUAAUACACUGUUCCUCGACAGUAAAGACAAGCGCUACUCAAGUCAUUGCUUCUCAUAGUGUCAAUUUCACUUCUACAGGCUUCCUUUUAAGGUGCUCUGUUAGUUUUCAGAGAUCAGGGAGAACAUAUGAUAUUUGUCCCUUUGGGACUGGCUUAUUUCACUAAGUAUGAUGUUUUCCAGAUUCAUCCAUUUUGUUGCAAAUGUCUGGAUUUCACUUUUUUUUUUACUGCUGUGUAGUAUUCCAUAGGGUACAUAUCCCAUAAUUUUUUUAUCCAGUCUUCUGUUGAUGGGCAUUUAGGUUGAUUCCAUGUCUUGGCUGUUGUGAGUUGAGCUACAGUAAACAUGUAGGUGCAGAUAGCUCUUUUAUUUUCAUAUUCAUUUCCAUUGUGUACAUUUCGAGGAGUAGAUGGCUGGAUUGUAUGGUACGUCUAUAUUCAGAUUUCUGAGGUAUCUCCGUACUGUCUUCCUUAGUGUCUUUACCAGUUUGCAUUCCCACCAACAGUGAAUUAGGCUACCUUUUUUUUAAUUUUUAUUUUUUAAUUAAA